AUAAGGUAUCUUACUUUCGAAUACAUAGGGGUAAGAAGCGAACGCAGGGAACUGAA
RNAcentral lists this ribosomal RNA (56 nucleotides) under Gillisella vitis. Its description in RNAcentral is "Agrobacterium vitis partial 23S rRNA 1.3-kb fragment A". The record is from RNAcentral. Lineage: Bacteria; Pseudomonadati; Pseudomonadota; Alphaproteobacteria; Hyphomicrobiales; Rhizobiaceae.